This 492-nucleotide ribosomal RNA is filed under the name uncultured bacterium. RNAcentral describes it as "partial 16S ribosomal RNA". It matches the Rfam family "Bacterial small subunit ribosomal RNA", at positions 29 to 507 of the family's 1533-position model. The record is from RNAcentral.
AGUGAACGCUGGCCGUAGGCCUAACACAUGCAAGUCGAACGGCAGCACAGUAAGAGCUUGCUCUUACGGGUGGCGAGUGGCGGACGGGUGAGGAAUACAUCGGAAUCUACUUUUUCGUGGGGGAUAACGUAGGGAAACUUACGCUAAUACCGCAUACGACCUACGGGUGAAAGCAGGGGAUCUUCGGACCUUGCGCGAUUGAAUGAGCCGAUGUCGGAUUAGCUAGUUGGCGGGGUAAAGGCCCACCAAGGCGACGAUCCGUAGCUGGUCUGAGAGGAUGAUCAGCCACACUGGAACUGAGACACGGCCCAGACUCCUACGGGAGGCAGCAGUGGGGAAUAUUGGACAAUGGGCGCAAGCCUGAUCCAGCCAUACCGCGUGGGUGAAGAAGGCCUUCGGGUUGUAAAGCCCUUUUGUUGGGAAAGAAAAGCAGCAGGUUAAUACCCCGCUGUUCUGACGGUACCCAAAGAAUAAGCACCGGCUAACUUCGUG